GACGAACGCUGGCGGCGUGCUUAACACAUGCAAGUCGAGCGGUAAGGCCCCUUCGGGGGUACACGAGCGGCGAACGGGUGAGUAACACGUGAGUAAUCUGCCCCUCACUUGGGGAUAAGCCUCGGAAACGAGGUCUAAUACCCGAUAUGACCCAUCUCCGCAUGGAGUGUGGGUGGAAAGUUUUUUCGGUGAGGGAUGUGCUCGCGGCCUAUCAGCUUGUUGGUGGGGUAAUGGCCUACCAAGGCUUCGACGGGUAGCCGGCCUGAGAGGGUGACCGGCCACACUGGGACUGAGACACGGCCCAGACUCCUACGGGAGGCAGCAGUGGGGAAUAUUGGACAAUGGGCGGAAGCCUGAUCCAGCAACGCCGCGUGAGGGAUGACGGCCUUCGGGUUGUAAACCUCUUUCGACCUCGACGAAGCUUUUCGGAGUGACGGUAGGGGUGGAAGGAGCACCGGCCAACUACGUGCCAGCCGCCGCGGUAA
RNAcentral lists this ribosomal RNA (485 nucleotides) under uncultured bacterium. Its description in RNAcentral is "partial 16S ribosomal RNA". It matches the Rfam family "Bacterial small subunit ribosomal RNA", at positions 28 to 523 of the family's 1533-position model. The record is from RNAcentral.